GACGAACGCUGGCGGCGUGCCUAACACAUGCAAGUCGAACGGAGUUCUUGUGAAUGAAGCUUCGGCAGAUUUCACUUGAACUUAGUGGCGGACGGGUGAGUAACGCGUGAGGAACCUGCCUUCCAGAGGGGGACAACAGUUGGAAACGACUGCUAAUACCGCAUAAUGCAGCGUGGUCGCAUGACCGUGCUGCCAAAGAUUAUAUCGCUGGAAGAUGGCCUCGCGUCUGAUUAGAUAGUUGGUGAGGUAACGGCCCACCAAGUCUGCGAUCAGUAGCCGGACUGAGAGGUUGAACGGCCACAUUGGGACUGAGACACGGCCCAG
Molecule: ribosomal RNA, 324 nt
Filed under: uncultured bacterium
Lineage: Bacteria
Description: bacterial SSU rRNA
Rfam family: Bacterial small subunit ribosomal RNA
Source: RNAcentral